Molecule: transfer RNA, 77 nt
Filed under: Ignavibacteria bacterium
Lineage: Bacteria; Pseudomonadati; Ignavibacteriota; Ignavibacteria
Description: tRNA-Pro
Rfam family: tRNA
About the family: Transfer RNA (tRNA) molecules are approximately 80 nucleotides in length. Their secondary structure includes four short double-helical elements and three loops (D, anti-codon, and T loops).
Source: RNAcentral
CGGGGCGUGGCUCAGCCCGGUAGAGCGCUCGGUUCGGGACCGAGAGGUCGGAAGUUCAAAUCUUCUCGCCCCGACAA